GCAGUUUAAUGUCGGAUGAGCAGUGUUGGUCCGGUGGGGGUGCACUGAUUCCUCUGGGAUGUUAUGUGUGCGUGAAUGAUAAGUUAUUUCACUGCUUUGCAAUAUUGUAAAAUGCCAUCCAUCCAUUUUGAGCUCUUUUACCAGUGGUGUUCAUUGGUGCAGCUGUCCAAACAGGGGCACCCAAACAUCCCCUACCCAACUUCACCAGCUCUUCCAGAUGAAAGUCAAGUCACCUGAAGGACGUUCUCUCUCUAGCUUGUCCUGGGUCCUCCUCCUGGUGGUACAUGCCCACAGUGCCAUACCUAGACGGUUCCCAGAAAACAUCCUGAUCUCAAACCCAAACAACCUCCACUGGCUCCUUUCAAUGUGGGGAAGAAGCGGCUGCUCUUUGAGACCCUACCUAAUCCCUACACAUAAUUUUCAGCAUAGAUGGGGACAGGAAGGUAGAUCAACAGCUUCAUUUCAUUUCACGUUCAGCUUUCUCAUCACUACAACAACAAGUACAACAUCACCAUCACUGGUUAACAGGAAAGGAUGGUUUAGUAGUGGAAACCUCUGCCCACGGCUUGUCUGUCUACCUGCAGAGAGCAUCUGCUGUCAGAUCACUCUAUCCACCAAUCAGCAUUGGAUCGAUGCACAAUGACGCUCAUGUCGAGGAUCGUGCAGUCGGGAUCAUGGAGCACUGCAUGGAAGCAUGUUUACACUGGCUGAACAUUUCUCUCUGUAAGCACAUACACAAAAGAACAAUCGCAGCACCAGAUAUUAACCAUUAUGCAACACCAGUCUGUCAGCCUCAUGCUCCACUGUCCCCUCAGACCAUGAGAUACUUAAACUCUUCCACAUGGAGCAGGAACUCAGAGUGGACGCUCCACCCUUUUCCUACUGAGAACUACGACGUGAGACUUUUAGUCAGAAAAUAUUUAUGUUUAAAUCUUUGCACAUUUAUAAUAUUUGAAGUAAUUUUAUGAUCCAGUUCAACAGACCAACUUACAUCACGCUCUGUUGCCCAGAGAUCAACUUGGCCACACAAUAUAAAGUUACACUAGUCAAUAAAACACUUUUAAAGGC
This is a long non-coding RNA of Maylandia zebra (zebra mbuna), 1068 nucleotides long. RefSeq lists it as uncharacterized. Lineage: Eukaryota; Metazoa; Chordata; Actinopteri; Cichliformes; Cichlidae. The record is from RefSeq and is a predicted model, not a curated record.